RNAcentral lists this ribosomal RNA (376 nucleotides) under uncultured bacterium. Its description in RNAcentral is "bacterial SSU rRNA". It matches the Rfam family "Bacterial small subunit ribosomal RNA", at positions 521 to 896 of the family's 1533-position model. The record is from RNAcentral.
UAAUACGUAUGGUGCAAACGUUGUUCGGAAUCACUGGGCUUAAAGAGCACGUAGGCUGUUGAGAAAGUCUGAUGUGAAAUCCCUCAGCUCAACUGAGGAACUGCAUUAGAAACUUCUCAGCUAGAGUGCAGGAGGGGAGAGUGGAAUUCCUGGUGGAGCGGUGAAAUGCGUAGAUAUCAGGAGGAACGCCGGUGGCGAAAGCGACUCUCUGGCCUGCUACUGACGCUGCGGUGCGAAAGCUAGGGGAGCGAACGGGAUUAGAUACCCCGGUAGUCCUAGCCCUAAACGAUGGGCACUAAGUAGAGGAAGUCCGAUACUUUCUCUGCCGGAGCAAAAGCAUUAAGUGCCCCGCCUGGGGAGUAUGGUCGCAAGGCUG